This 374-nucleotide unclassified non-coding RNA is filed under the name soil metagenome. RNAcentral's name for it is "partial contains internal transcribed spacer 2 and large subunit ribosomal RNA". The stretch from base 1 to 120 matches the Rfam family "5.8S ribosomal RNA", at positions 35 to 154 of the family's 154-position model. The record is from RNAcentral.
GAUGAAGAACGUAGCGAAAUGCGAUAAUUAAUGUGAAUUGCAGAAUUCCGUGAAUCAUCGAGCCUUUGAACGCACAUUGCGCCUCAUGGCAUUCCGUGAGGCAUGCCCAUCUCAGCGUUAGAAAAUAUUCUCAAAUUUUAGUUUUGUGCUGAAAUUUGGAUCAUGUCAAAGAAGCUAUUACUAUUAUUGUGAUCGCUCUUUGGAAAUUGAUAGGUCUUUGAGUUGCUACUCAUAGAACGUGAUGAAUCUUUCUUCGUUCUAUUGUAAUUCACUCUGGUAGUCCUAAAACUUGUAUGCCUGUGGCAUAUCUUGUAAUUUGACCUGAGAUUGGGUAGGGAUACCCGCUGAACUUAAGCAUAUCAAUAAGCGGAGGA